Acidobacteria bacterium 13_1_40CM_4_61_5 is the source of this 84-nucleotide non-coding RNA. The record is from Rfam. NCBI's taxonomy places the organism in Bacteria, Pseudomonadati, Acidobacteriota.
GCCCAAGUGGCGGAAUUGGCAGACGCGCUAGAUUCAGGGUCUAGUGGCCGCAAGGUCGUGGAGGUUCGAGUCCUCUCUUGGGCA